AUGAACGUUGGCGGCGUGCCUAACACAUGCAAGUCGAGCGUGAAAGUCCUUCGGGAUGAGUAAAGCGGCGGACGGGUGAGUAACGCGUGAGAAUUUCCCUUUCAGUGAAGAAUACCUUUGAGAAAUUAAAGUUAAUACUGCAUACGUCUCGAUAAGAGAGAAAGAUGGCCUAAUUGCUGUCGCUGAAAGAUAAGCUUGCGUUCUAUUAGCUAGUUGGUGAGGUAAUGGCUCACCAAGGCGAUGAUGGAUAGCCGGCCUGAGAGGGCGAACGGCCACAUUGGAACUUAGACACGGUCCAAACUCCUACGGGAGGCAGCAGUGAGGAAUAUUGCACAAUGGGCGAAAGCCUGAUGCAGCGACGCCGCGUGGAGGAUGACGGUCUUCGGAUUGUAAACUCCUGUUAAGUGUGAAAAAAGAGUCGUUUUUAAUAGAAACGAAAGAUGAUGGUAACACUAGAGAAAGCACCGGCUAACUUCGU
Molecule: ribosomal RNA, 478 nt
Filed under: uncultured bacterium
Lineage: Bacteria
Description: bacterial SSU rRNA
Rfam family: Bacterial small subunit ribosomal RNA
Source: RNAcentral